AGUGAACGCUGGCGGUAGGCCUAACACAUGCAAGUCGAACGGCAGCACAGUAAGAGCUUGCUCUUACGGGUGUCGAGUGGCGGACGGGUGCGGAAUACAUCGGAAUCUACUUUUUCGUGGGGGAUAACGUAGGGAAACUUACGCUAAUACCGCAUACGACCUACGGGUGAAAGCAGGGGAUCUUCGGACCUUGCGCGAUUGAAUGAGCCGAUGUCGGAGUAGCUAGUUGGCGGGGUAAAGGCGCACCAAGGCGACGAUCCGUAGCUGGUCUGAGAGGAUGAUCAGCCACCCUGGAACUGAGACACGGCCCAGACUCCUACGGGGGGCCGCAGUGGGGACUAUUGCACAAUGGGGCCAAGCCUGAUCCAGCCAUACCGCGUGAGUCAUGAAGGCCUUCGGGUUGUAAAGCCCUUUUGUUGGGAAAGAAAAGCAGCAGGUUAAUCCCCCGCUGUUAUGACGGUACCCAAAGAAUAAGCACCGGCUAACUUCGUG
This 492-nucleotide ribosomal RNA is filed under the name uncultured bacterium. Its description in RNAcentral is "partial 16S ribosomal RNA". It matches the Rfam family "Bacterial small subunit ribosomal RNA", at positions 29 to 507 of the family's 1533-position model. The record is from RNAcentral.